UACGUAGGGAGCAAGCGUUGUCCGGAAUCAUUGGGCGUAAAGCGCGCGUAGGUGGCCUCAUAAGUCCGCUGUGAAAGUCAAAGGCUCAACCUUUGAAAGCCGGUGGAUACUGUGAGGCUAGAGUACGGAAGAGGCGAGUGGAAUUCCUGGUGUAGCGGUGGAAUGCGCAGAUAUCAGGAGGAACACCGGUGGCGAAGGCGGGACUCUGGGCCGAUACUGACGCUGAGGAGCGAAAGCGUGGGGAGCGAACAGG
Molecule: ribosomal RNA, 253 nt
Filed under: uncultured bacterium
Lineage: Bacteria
Description: partial 16S ribosomal RNA
Rfam family: Bacterial small subunit ribosomal RNA
Source: RNAcentral